This is a long non-coding RNA of Myotis brandtii (Brandt's bat), 3013 nucleotides long. RefSeq lists it as uncharacterized. Lineage: Eukaryota; Metazoa; Chordata; Mammalia; Chiroptera; Vespertilionidae. The transcript has 2 exons. The record is from RefSeq and is a predicted model, not a curated record.
UUAACACUUCAUGCUUCUCGCCUCCUCUUCUGCCUGGCUCUUUUAAUUUUUUCUUUCCUCUCUCUCUCCCUCGCGCGCUUUCUCCGUGCAAAGUGCAAGACAGAGGUGCAGCCGGGCUCGAGGAAAGGGAGGGGGUGGGGGAGAGUUGAGUUCUUUCUUGCCUUUUUUUUUUUUAAAAAAAAAGCAAAAUAGCGAAGUCCUGGGGAAAGGCGAGGCAGAGAGCAAAAGGGGGGGAGGCCGAGCCGACGAGCAGCCUGAGCUACAGCUCGAAGAUGAAAAAAGAUUUUAAAGCCUCUGAUCCAGCAAGAAGAGUUUAAAGCAAUUGCUGAGUUUUAUAGUACUUGUGACGUCAGGCCCAGAUGGGAAAUUGACUGGUACUCUGGGCCAAUGAGAGGCGGCGAGAGCGGCCGCGAUUAGCAUAAUAGUAUAGAAACAAGGAAACUUUUCGGAGCUGUCAAUCAGGGCCCAAUCAGCUGACUGUCAGCUGGGACGGGCGAGCUUAACCCUUCCCGCGCCGCCACCUCCCCCGGAGGGAGCCAAGCCGAGCGCAAAGUUUGGUGAAAGAGAGCGAAGAGUUUUCCAGAGGGGCUGCGGGAACCCGGGAGGAUAGGGAGGUCGGUUUGAUUUACUUUGGAGCUCGAAGAGGCCUGCUUUCCGGAGCCCCAGCUGACCAGCCACUCACUCCGCGGGCAUUGGCCUGAAUGCCCUCCCCUGCCAGCUCCCCGUCCCCAGGAUGGUGAAUUAGCCUGGCAGCCUUCCCUCCUCGCUCCACCUUCGGCACCCAGAUCGAUUCUUUUAAAGCUCAUGCAAGAAGGAAAAAGAAAAAGGAAAGAAAAGAAAAAGGAAACAACCAACAACUCUGUUUCUAAGAUUUUAAAGCGAUAGGCAAGUCGGAGAAGCCGAGAUUUACUAUUUGGGGGAAAGCAAGAGUGCGCGAGCGAACCCAGCGUUUGGAAGACCAGCCCGCCUGCUUGGAUGUUGGGACUGUUGAUUCUUCCAAUUAAUGAAAUGCAUUUGGUGUUAGUGCUAUUUUUUUUUUUUUACUUUGUGGGAGGGGGAAACACUAGGAGGGUGCAUUAAGAAAAGAAAAAAAAUUCUGAAAAGCCUGCAAAAGGAUCGAAGAGUGAAAACUAUUGUUGGAGCGAGUUGGUUUUUACCUCAACAGCGCCACCUUUCGGCAAAGGUCAGUUGAAAUUGAUCCGUGUCCAGUUUUGUUGAAGUGAAAAGAAGCUGGUUUCCCAAGGUGGGAGGAGGAAAGAGGCGCAGGAAGUUUGACUGCAGUGGGAGAACCCAACCUUGUAGGUAAGGGGCUGAGGACAGUGCAGGCAGGUGAGGGAGUUAUUUUUCCUCCACGGUCCCCCUGGAUUGUCCACCAAGGGGACAGGGGACACAGAAGCCUUUUGGAGUGUAAUUCUGUCUCAGAGACUUGAGCAAGUGGAUCCCAUGUAAUAGGGCCCCAAGCCCUUUAAAAGUGCCAGGAUGGAUUUCCAGCGGGCUUUAUGGCAAUAUCAAUAGAAUUAAAGUUACUUGUAAUUCAGUGAUAAAUGAGAUGUCUCUAGUAAGUAAGAUUAAGUGCAGCGCUAUAAAGUUGUUUAUCUGAAAAGUAAUUCUCAGAAAACCUGACUUCUGACACUUAGUCAUAUAUUAAGCCUCACGUCUUGAACAUUGCACUUCAGAAGGCUGUCACCCACCCCACAGCAUACUUUACUAUUUAUAACGAGACCUUAGGUGUCACUCACUGGCUUCAGACUCCAGAUUAGACUUGUGUUAAUUUCUCUGAUGCUGGCAGCCUUGGUUUCAGCAGACCCCAGGGUUCCUAAUGAGAGAAUCCCCCAAUACAGGUUUGUAGGCGCAUCAGAAUCCUAAAAGGCCAGUGCUGUUGGUAUUUUCCAGAAAAGCACCUUUUCUUUUCAUCAUUACUUCAGCGAAGUUGUUUAUAAGGGUAGUUUUGGUUUUAUGGGAAUACUUUGUCUAUUACCAGUUUGGAGAAGAAAGAGUGACGGUUAUGUCAAUAUUUAUGCAACCUAACAGAAUUCCUUUGCUUUCCACCCCUUAAACAGUAUUUUACCUAGUAAUGAAGUUAAGGGAUUAUAGCUUGUUUAUUCAGAGGAAAAUCUUAAACUACAUAAACAUACGAUGUCAUUUAGCAUUGUUCAUAGCAAUAGUUUUCUAGGCUUUUAAAAAAUCAUUAGCCACAAAUGUCUGAAGUUUAUAAUUAUUCAUGUGAAACAUGAAUUUAAAUGUAGUUAGGAAGAAUCAAUUCUUUUUUUGUUUAUAAUAUUUUUUUUUAUCCUUUGGCAUCACAUUUUUGUUAAAAGCUGUAAGGAAUGAUCCUUGUCUCUCAAGAAAGUAUUUUUGGCCAGGAGCACUGAAACUUCUGCAUUCAUAAACAACAUUUAUAAACAAAGUUCACUCAUGACGAAGACCAUGUGAUAUAGAUUCAUGGCCAUGCACCUAAUUGUUGCAAUUAUAUAUCAUUUCUAGAAAUUAAAUGCUCAUGUUUGGGCAGCUAAAUGUAUUAUUAUCUGCACUUUUUUUAUGGUUUAUUUCUGUACACUGCUGUUAAGCCAUGGUAUUUUUCUUUCUCGUAUUGCAGAGUCUUUUACAGUCUCUUAUUUUCUCUCGAAAAAAAAAGAGAGGACCAGAAUUAUUUUUUAGAUGUGUAGCAGUAGUGCUCUCAGCCUUAUAACUGAAUUCUCAUUUUUGUCCUUUUUACUUUAUUAUUUAGUGAUGCCCAGGGGUGUCCAAACAUUUACAGUUCUCCGUUAGUGGCAUUUCUUUGACAACAAUUGAGCUCUCUUAUUUUAAUUAGUACUAUUCAGGUUUUUGAUUCUGUACAAUUACAGCAGGCCACACUUCCUUAGACUUCUUUGCUCACAUUGUUUGUUUCACUUCUCUCCAAGCCCAUGUAAUCCAAGUACAAUACGAACCCUGUUUCUGUACUGCUUAAUAUCCCCUUGCUAUAUAUACGCUAGUAAUCUCUGUAGAACAAUAUAGAGUAAUUUCGAAACCA